CGGGGCGGCUGCUAUACAUGCAAGUCGAGCGGAGUUGAUAGGAAGCUUGCUUCCUUGAUACUUAGCGGCGGACGGGUGAGUAACACGUAGGCAACCUGCCCUCAAGUUUGGGACAACUACCGGAAACGGUAGCUAAUACCGAAUAAUUGUUUUCUUCGCCUGAAGGAAACUGGAAAGACGGAGCAAUCUGUCACUUGGGGAUGGGCCUGCGGCGCAUUAGCUAGUUGGUGGGGUAACGGCUCACCAAGGCGACGAUGCGUAGCCGACCUGAGAGGGUGAUCGGCCACACUGGGACUGAGACACGGCCCAGACUCCUACGGGAGGCAGCAGUAGGGAAUCUUCCGCAAUGGGCGAAAGCCUGACGGAGCAAUGCCGCGUGAGUGAUGAAGGUUUUCGGAUCGUAAAGCUCUGUUGCCAGGGAAGAACGCUUGGGAGAGUAACUGCUCUCAAGGUGACGGUACCUGAGAAGAAAGCCCCGGCUAACUACGUGCCAGCAGCCCGGGGUAAUACAA
RNAcentral lists this ribosomal RNA (512 nucleotides) under Paenibacillus sp. N32. Its description in RNAcentral is "bacterial SSU rRNA". It matches the Rfam family "Bacterial small subunit ribosomal RNA", at positions 38 to 528 of the family's 1533-position model. The record is from RNAcentral. Lineage: Bacteria; Bacillati; Bacillota; Bacilli; Caryophanales; Paenibacillaceae.